Molecule: long non-coding RNA, 1669 nt
Organism: Ctenopharyngodon idella (grass carp)
Lineage: Eukaryota; Metazoa; Chordata; Actinopteri; Cypriniformes; Xenocyprididae
Exons: 3
Source: RefSeq, a predicted model, not a curated record
AGAAAGGUCUAAUGUUACAGUCACACAUACAGGAUAGAGCUUAGGAUAUACAGUAGCUCCGUCUGACAUUGUUAUGAAUUAUGAUCUAGGUUGCACACUCGACCUCUGAGGAUCCUAUUACAUAUGGUUCUUGGCUAGACGAUUCAGUGAUUUGUUACCUGAGACUCGCUGCGACCGGAUCAUGAAUCAGUAAGUUGUUAAAGUGGUUCUUUAGGGGGAAGAGCACUGAUGUUACACCCUGAAGCCAAAUGCUUAACCUCAUUUGCCUCAUUACAUCUUCUGCCAACAGAUAAUAUGGAAAACUCGAAGCAAGGGCCAUCAUGGAAUGCAUCAUCUGACAUCAUGUGCACUGUUCAGAAGCUUAACCUCAUUGAACAAGAGCCAGCAGAGGAGGAGAGGGUCCAGAUCAAACACAAAGCUGUAACCACACAUGAAAUGAGCGGCAAAAAGAGCAGCUACACUUCUAACGAAAGGCGGUGGGAGAAUGACCCAUUUACCCAGCAUGCCCUGGAGGGCUGAAAGGAAAAGACUGUCUUAUGGUGCCAGUAUGCAAAGUAGGUUGGAUGUGAAUGGAAGAAGGAAAGAAACAGUGAGAGGUGGCUCAGUAAACCAGGACACUUGCAGAAGAAGGUCUAGGUCAAAGCUGGCACAGUAUGAAUGGCAUCCACCCUUGGCCAUAUUUUGAGGGCAGGGCUUGUUAGGUUCACCCUCAUAUUUAUGGCCUCCCAGGAGUUGGCGUCAAGAGAGUGAAUGAUAUAUUAUCACUAAAGUACUGCUCUUGCAGAUUUUGGCAUGCGAAGGCAUUUCCCUACAAGGCUGAAUCAACCACAUACAGAAAGUAAUGAGGCAUCUCUUUAAAUUGUACUCCAGUGACAAAAAUAUCUCAUUGCUAGGUCCAUCUUUCAGCACAGUGAAGUCUGUGGUCACAGUGUAAAGCAGAGGUGAGACUCAUUUUUGGCUUUUAAUAAUAAGUGUUUAUACACUGAGUUACAUACAUGGGUCAUUGACAAGGUUUUUAAAAGUGUAAAAAACAUAAUGGAGAUAUAAUUAAUUUUGAAGUUUUAUUAAGAGUUAACAAUGAAAUUAUGUGAUUUUUUUUAAUCAAUUAACACUGCUUUUGUCAUUUUUUACAAGAUGGACAAAAUCUGUCACCAAAAAAGUCAUUUGGUUUAUCCAAAAUUUCGGUUUUACCGAAUGACACUUUUGGUUAUACCGAAUGACGAUAUUUUCAAAAAAUGCUAACAGGCUGAUAUCUAGCUAGCUAGCUAGUUAGCUUGCUAUCUAGCUAGCAAAAGAACAAACAUUUUAUAUUUACAAGUUUUUAAAAUAUUACAACAUUUUCCAUGUUUUAUAGCGGUUGUACCGAAUGACCUGAUGUUUCAGGACAUGUGUAUGAGCAAGUGAAAACAUGAAUUUUUCAAAUAGUUAAAAGAGAGUUAGUUACUUUGCUUCAUGGCCAUGUGGUCCUUUGCAGGUGUCUGAAUGAUGUCAUAUCCUGUCACAUGAUACUGACCGCAUGACUUGAUCCAAAAUCGUCCCUUUAUAUUGGUUACUCCAAAUGACAUCAAUGAAAUUCAUUUUUUCGGACAUUCUUUCUCAUAACAAAGCAACAACUUCAACACAUAAUUUUAAUAUCAUUCUGCACUACGUUGAUAUAUGAUGUUAUAAA